AUACGUAGGUGACAAGCGUUAUCCGGAUUUACUGGGCGUAAAGGGCGUGUAGGCGGUCUUGCAAGUCAGAAGUGAAAUUCCUGAGCUCAACUCGGGCGCUGCUUCUGAAACUGCAGGACUUGAGUGCUGGAGGGGAUAGCGGAAUUCCUAGUGGAGCGGUAAAAUGCGCAGAUAUUAGGAAGAACACCGGUGGCGAAGGCGGCUUGCUGGACAGAAGCUGACACUGAGGCGCGAACGCGUGGGGAGCAAACAGGAUUAGAUACCCUGGUAGCCCACGCCGUAAACGAUGAAUACUAGGUGGAGGGGGGAUCGACUCCAUGUGUGCCGCAGUUAACACAAUAAGUGUUCCGCCUGGGGAGUACGGCCGCACGGUUGAAACUCAAAUGAAUUGCCGGGG
Molecule: ribosomal RNA, 397 nt
Filed under: uncultured bacterium
Lineage: Bacteria
Description: partial 16S ribosomal RNA
Rfam family: Bacterial small subunit ribosomal RNA
Source: RNAcentral